RNAcentral lists this ribosomal RNA (429 nucleotides) under Actinomycetes bacterium. RNAcentral's name for it is "Actinobacteria bacterium partial 16S ribosomal RNA". It matches the Rfam family "Bacterial small subunit ribosomal RNA", at positions 355 to 776 of the family's 1533-position model. The record is from RNAcentral. Lineage: Bacteria; Bacillati; Actinomycetota; Actinomycetes.
UAGGGAAUCUUCCGCAAUGGGCGAAAGCCUGACCGAGCAACGCCGCGUGAGUGAUGAAGGUCUUCGGAUCGUAAAACUCUGUUAUUAGGGAAGAACAAAUGUGUAAGUAACUAUGCACGUCUUGACGGUACCUAAUCAGAAAGCCACGGCUAACUACGUGCCAGCAGCCGCGGUAAUACGUAGGUGGCAAGCGUUAUCCGGAAUUAUUGGGCGUAAAGCGCGCGUAGGCGGUUUUUUAAGUCUGAUGUGAAAGCCCACGGCUCAACCGUGGAGGGUCAUUGGAAACUGGAAAACUUGAGUGCAGAAGAGGAAAGUGGAAUUCCAUGUGUAGCGGUGAAAUGCGCAGAGAUAUGGAGGAACACCAGUGGCGAAGGCGACUUUCUGGUCUGUAACUGACGCUGAUGUGCGAAAGCGUGGGGAUCAAACAGG